Non-coding RNA from Oryza meridionalis, 203 nucleotides. The record is from Rfam. NCBI's taxonomy places the organism in Eukaryota, Viridiplantae, Streptophyta, Magnoliopsida, Poales, Poaceae.
UGUAAAUACAACCAUUAGUUUUCACGCUUAAUUUUGAUCAUUCGUCUUAUUUAAAUUUUUUUAUAAUUAGUAUUUUUUAUUGUUACGAGAUGAUAAAAUAUAAAUAGCACUUUAUAUGUUAUUUAUUUUUUUAAUUUUUUAAAAAAUAUUUAAAUAAGAUGGACGAUUAAAAUUGUGCAAGAAAAAUUACGACUGAACUUGAA